AGCUCCCUGGUUGAUCCUGCCAGUAGUUAUAUGCUUGUCUCAAAGAUUAAGCCAUGCAUGUCUCAGUGCAAGCCGUAUUAAGGCGAUACCGCGAAUGGCUCAAUAUAUCAGUUUUGGUUCCUUAGAUCUUACUCAGUUACUUGGAUAACUGUGGUAAUUCUAGAGCUAAUACAUGCAAUCAGAACUCUGACCAGUGAUGGGAUGAGUGCUUUUAUUAGAUCAAAACCAAUCGACGGAAGGCCGUGCGUCGGAAGUCGUUAAUUUUGAUGAAUCUGGAUAACUUUUGCCGAUCGCAUGGUCCAGUACCGGCGACGCAUCUUUCAAAUGUCUGCCUUAUCAACUUUCGAUGGUAGUUUCUGCGACUACCAUGGUUGUCACGGGUAACGGGGAAUCAGGGUUCGAUUCCGGAGAGGGAGCCUGAGAAACGGCUACCACAUCCAAGGAAGGCAGCAGGCGCGCAAAUUACCCACUCCCGGCACGGGGAGGUAGUGACGAAAAAUAACGAUACGGGACUCUUACGAGGCCUCGUAAUCGGAAUGAGUACACUUUAAAUAUUUUAACGAGGAACAAUUGGAGGGCAAGUCUGGUGCCAGCAGCCGCGGUAAUUCCAGCUCCAAUAGCGUAUACUAAAAUUGUUGCGGUUAAAAAGCUCGUAGUUGCAUUUGUGCGCCGCGCUGUCGGUGCACCGCAUCCGCGGUGAUACUGACACGUCUGCGGAGCAUAUCGUCGGUGAGCCGUCGGUCAAACGUCGGUUCAAUAUCAAAAUCCUAUCGCGGUGCUCUUCAAUGAGUGUCGAGGUGGGCCGACAAUUUUACUUUGAACAAAUUAGAGUGCUCAAAGCGGGCUCAAAAUGCUGCUUGAAUAUUUCGUGCAUGGAAUAAUAGAAUAUGAUCUCGGUUCUAUUUUGUUGGUUUUCAGAACUCCGAGGUAAUGAUUAAUAGGGAUAACUGGGGGCAUUCGUAUUGCGACGUUAGAGGUGAAAUUCUUGGAUCGUCGCAAGACGAACAUCAGCGAAAGCAUUUGCCAAAGGUGUUUUCAUCAAUCAAGAACGAAAGUUAGAGGUUCGAAGGCGAUUAGAUACCGCCCUAGUUCUAACCGUAAAUAUGUCAUCUAGCGAUCCGCCGACGUUACUACAAUGGCUCGGCGGGCAGCUUCCGGGAAACCAAAGAUUUUGGACUCCGGGGGGAGUAUGGUUGCAAAGCUGAAACUUAAAGGAAUUGACGGAAGGGCACCACCAGGAGUGGAGCCUGCGGCUUAAUUUGACUCAACACGGGAAAUCUCACCAGGCCCGGACACCGGAAGGAUUGACAGAUUAACAGCUCUUUCUUGAUUCGGUGGGUGGUGGUGCAUGGCCGUUCUUAGUUGGUGGAGCGAUUUGUCUGGUUAAUUCCGGUAACGAACGAGACUCUAGCCUGCUAAAUAGGCGUCGUCAUUUAGGUGUGCGUGGCUCCGUCACGCAACUCACUGGCGACGUAUUAAAAUUCUUCUUAGAGGGACCGGCGGCUUCGAGCCGCACGAGAUUGAGCAAUAACAGGUCUGUGAUGCCCUUAGAUGUCCUGGGCCGCACGCGCGCUACACUGAAGGAAUCAGCAUGUUCUCCCUGGCCUAGAGGCCCGGGCAACCCGCUGAAACUCCUUCGUGCUGGGGAUUGGGGUUUGCAAUUAUCCCCCAUAAACGAGGAAUUCCUAGUAAGCGCGAGUCAUAAGCUCGCGUUGAUUACGUCCCUGCCCUUUGUACACACCGCCCGUCGCUACUACCGAUUGAAUGAUUUAGUGAGGUCUUCGGACCGACACGCGGUGGCUUCACGGCCGUCGGCGUUGCUGGGAAGUUGACCAAACUUGAUCAUUUAGAGGAAGUAAAAGUCGUAACAAGGUUUCCGUAGGGGAACCUGCGGAAGGAUCAUUA
This 1905-nucleotide ribosomal RNA is filed under the name Mythimna separata (northern armyworm). Its description in RNAcentral is "SSU rRNA". It matches the Rfam family "Eukaryotic small subunit ribosomal RNA". Lineage: Eukaryota; Metazoa; Arthropoda; Insecta; Lepidoptera; Noctuidae. The record is from RNAcentral.